RNAcentral lists this long non-coding RNA (769 nucleotides) under Toxoplasma gondii VEG. The record is from RNAcentral. Lineage: Eukaryota; Apicomplexa; Conoidasida; Eucoccidiorida; Sarcocystidae.
CAGCGCCCCACCAGUUGGCAGUUAUUUGCAUACAACUACGGAAAGUGCCUUCGGAAAAUCUGAUAUGCCGCCGUUUCCAGUGGUGGCCACGAGGCAAGACAGGCAAGGGAAAAAGGAAGAGGCAGCGAAACGCCGGAAGGGCAAAGGGACUUGGGGAUAGCCGACUUGAGGGGAAUGACACGCAGCCAAGAAGGCGGUAACUUGGCGGCGGCUGUGACCGCAGUACUCUCAGCUGCCUCUCCGUGUAGGUACCAGAUGGGUGGCUUCGGGCACAAACGGCGUAGAACAGGCAGACGGCUCAAGGCAUUGCAGGCACACACAGCAAAUGGUGUUUAAGGUCCCGGAGCUGAAAACAGGCCGAUACACACGUGACAAAAAGCGGAGACAUAGACAGAGAAACACCCUGAUAAGCAGCACAGGCUGUCUUCGACUUUGACAUCCAGGAACAGGAUUAUUUUUGAGGUGUCUCCGACCGUGAAGUCCUGUACCUUCAUGAGGAGAGACGCAGUAGGAGAGUGAGGCGCCUUUUGGGAUCUGACCGAGAGGAAGGACUCAUCGGAAUUCCCCUAGCUUUUGUUAAUCCUUUGUUCAUGUUUCGAAAUGAAGAGCUUAACGGUCUCCAUGAAGUAAAAAAAGCACCCAUUUUCUCUGUGCAGUCAAGUUUUUGUUGAGUGAUCCAGACCCGCACAAAAACCUGUGUGAGUGUCGAUGAACCUCGAGAGCCGCAGAGACUGAGAACACCUGUGUCCGGUGCUGCUGCUCAUCGCAG